UCGGGAAUUUUGCGCAAUGGGCGAAAGCCUGACGCAGCAACGCCGCGUGAGGGAUGAAGGCCUUCGGGUUGUAAACCUCUUUUCUCAGGGACGAUGAUGACGGUACCUGAGGAAUAAGCCACGGCUAACUACGUGCCAGCAGCCGCGGUAAUACGUAGGUGGCGAGCGUUGUCCGGAUUUACUGGGCGUAAAGAGCGCGCAGGCGGUCGUAUGAGUCGCGUGUGAAAGCCCCCGGCUCAACUGGGGAGGGUCAAGCGAUACUGUUCGACUCGAAGGCAGGAGAGGGAAGCGGAAUUCCCGGUGUAGUGGUGAAAUGCGUAGAUAUCGGGAGGAACACCAGUGGCGAAGGCGGCUUCCUGGCCUGUUCUUGACGCGGAGGCGCGAAAGCUAGGGUAGCAAACGGG
Molecule: ribosomal RNA, 404 nt
Filed under: Bacillota bacterium
Lineage: Bacteria; Bacillati; Bacillota
Description: Firmicutes bacterium partial 16S ribosomal RNA
Rfam family: Bacterial small subunit ribosomal RNA
Source: RNAcentral